CAGUAAAUAGUUUAUAAAAAAUAUUAAUUUUGGAGAUUAAAGAUAAGUCUAACUUUUUACUGA
This 63-nucleotide transfer RNA is filed under the name Eysarcoris aeneus. Its description in RNAcentral is "tRNA-Pro". The record is from RNAcentral. Lineage: Eukaryota; Metazoa; Arthropoda; Insecta; Hemiptera; Pentatomidae.